Long non-coding RNA from Canis lupus familiaris (dog), 548 nucleotides. RefSeq lists it as uncharacterized. NCBI's taxonomy places the organism in Eukaryota, Metazoa, Chordata, Mammalia, Carnivora, Canidae. The record is from RefSeq and is a predicted model, not a curated record. The transcript is spliced from 2 exons.
UGGUCCAUGAUGACAUGUUCUCUAGACCAAGUGAGGAGUAGAGGAGUGGCCUGCAGCCUGAAGCACGACAGCUAGCAGCCCACGCUCAGAAAGGUGACCUUUAUACUAGGAUGUUGCUUUUAGGCUGGAUCACAAGACAGGGCUCAGCAGUCUUGCAGCUCUUCCUAUCCACUGUGUGACAGGAAGGACUCUCCUUGGUGUUCCCUACUGCCCAGAGCUCCAGAAGAGUGCUUCCUGACCAUCAUCAGCCUAACAUCUGAAGGAGGCUACAAAGCUCAGUCUAGCACCUUGUCUGGAGUCCAAGAAUGAUUGGAGGAAAACCCUAAGCCAUAUUCCUGCUCAACUACAGUCUGAAGUUAGAGGUUUUAAGAAAGAACAAGGCACAUAUAAUGGGAUCCAACUUUUGCAAGAUAUCAAAAAGGAAAUUUUCGAAUCAUUUUUGUACAACCUAUUUGUUCAAGUUAGCAUACUAUCCUUUCAGCUUUCCUGCAUAAAAGCUUUUUUAACCUUCAGAAUAAACAAAAAAUAGGUUCAUGGAUAACUUAGAA